AGAGUUUGAUCCUGGCUCAGGAUGAACGCUGGCGGCGUGCCUAAUACAUGCAAGUCGAGCGAAUGGAUUAAGAGCUUGCUCUUAUGAAGUUAGCGGCGGACGGGUGAGUAACACGUGGGUAACCUGCCCAUAAGACUGGGAUAACUCCGGGAAACCGGGGCUAAUACCGGAUAACAUUUUGAACCGCAUGGUUCGAAAUUGAAAGGCGGCUUCGGCUGUCACUUAUGGAUGGACCCGCGUCGCAUUAGCUAGUUGGUGAGGUAACGGCUCACCAAGGCAACGAUGCGUAGCCGACCUGAGAGGGUGAUCGGCCACACUGGGACUGAGACACGGCCCAGACUCCUACGGGAGGCAGCAGUAGGGAAUCUUCCGCAAUGGACGAAAGUCUGACGGAGCAACGCCGCGUGAGUGAUGAAGGCUUUCGGGUCGUAAAACUCUGUUGUUAGGGAAGAACAAGUGCUAGUUGAAUAAGCUGGCACCUGACGUA
Molecule: ribosomal RNA, 487 nt
Filed under: Bacillus sp. EF4A-B854
Lineage: Bacteria; Bacillati; Bacillota; Bacilli; Caryophanales; Bacillaceae
Description: bacterial SSU rRNA
Rfam family: Bacterial small subunit ribosomal RNA
Source: RNAcentral